Molecule: non-coding RNA, 23 nt
Filed under: Xenopus tropicalis (tropical clawed frog)
Lineage: Eukaryota; Metazoa; Chordata; Amphibia; Anura; Pipidae
Also listed under: 3 other names
Source: RNAcentral
GCGUUGGUGGUAUAGUGGUGAGC